Aedes aegypti (yellow fever mosquito) is the source of this 1502-nucleotide long non-coding RNA. RefSeq lists it as uncharacterized. The record is from RefSeq and is a predicted model, not a curated record. Lineage: Eukaryota; Metazoa; Arthropoda; Insecta; Diptera; Culicidae. The transcript has 2 exons.
AGUGGGGAUUCGCUCGUUGGGGGUCCGCUACAUGGAAUCACUCGAUGGUUGGAUGUUCGCUGGUUGGAAAAAAUUCCAACUAAAAAGCACUCGAAUGUCAGGAGAAGAUGUCAAACUAACUUUGACGUCUGACUACCGUCGCAUUGAAAUCUCCAUUUAUAGAACAAAUCUGGAGCUCGAUUUGAAAAGGUCGAAUGUGACAUUUUUGACUGUCUGAGAUAACUCUCUAUGAAGUUUCUCAAACGAUAUUCAAUUCCUAUUUCAAGCAAACAGCUAAAAAGCACACAAUAUACGUAUUAAGACACAAAACGAAAUCCCUCCCAGUAAACCUUUAAACAAACGCAUAAGAAUACACUCAUUUUUUUUAAUUUACGAGCAUACAUAAGUUUUCCGUCUAUCUGAGAUUGUUUGUGGUUCAUUCGACCUAAUCGAUACGACCUAAUGCCAGUCACCGCUGCACAUCGAACGGGCACGUUCAGACGUUUGACGUCUGAAAAUGUCCAUACGUCAAAGUACGAUCGGAAUGAUUGAUGGUCAGUGAAGCACAUACGACCCACCGUUGUAAACAGAAAUAGAGAUUUUCAAAGAAUUUCUGGAGUUUUCUACAUAAAGAAGAUGCAACGGAUGCGGCUGUCGGAUAGAUUUACUUGCUCGUAUCUUUGAAAAAAUCUUCAUAAGGCAUCAUCGGUACUUCUGUGGUGAUGCUCGGAAAGCAACAGGCCGAAGAUUAAACCAAAGUUGAACGAAGAGAGCAAAUUGUCGCUGUCGGUUUUCUUAAACUUUUCCUUAAGAUCUUUCACAAUCGGGAACACUAAAAAAUGAAUUCCUUGGAAAUGACAGCACCAGCACUGCUGUUUGCCUUCAUCUCAAUAAAUGAUUUGCUUAGUAGCUCAACCAGAGUCUGAUUCUGGGGGGAUUUUGUAAACUUGAAGAUAUAAGACAAUAGGUCGAAUACGCGUUUUUUCAGAUUUAGCUACAUUCGACUGAAAGCGCAAUAGGACGAAUGAACAAAUUUUUAUUGUUCCUAGUUUCUGUUAAUUACGUCAAAGUGUCAAUUAUUUUUGUAUUUUUGAAGAAAUAUAAUAUCAAAAUGGUACUUUACCCUCAUAUUAAGCUGAGUAGAAUCUACCUAAUGGUUAAAUAAACACGAGUAUUCUACUAUUGUUACUUAGGACCAUUUCAAAUCGAGCUCCAGAAAUGUAUAUGUAUAUGUGCGUUUCGUGACGAUUUGCGCUCCAUAUGCGUUAGUCUGGAACAUUUUCCCCAGCUAUCAGUAGUUCCAACUAACGGGUCGGAUUCGCUAGAUGGAAGGCAGUCGUGUUCCAACCAGCGAAUCCCCGCUGUACAGCCAUUCCCGAGGACAAAGUUGUCAUCUUCCGGCUAGGGCCAAGGAGGAAGUUUCGGAGCAUAUCGGCGUCUUAAUCACUCCAGUUUUUGAUAAAUUCCGCAAUUAUGUAAUUCGUGUAUAUGAGUGUAUAAAUAUAGUUUAUUGUAUUACGAAA